This 247-nucleotide ribosomal RNA is filed under the name uncultured bacterium. Its description in RNAcentral is "partial 16S ribosomal RNA". It matches the Rfam family "Bacterial small subunit ribosomal RNA", at positions 523 to 769 of the family's 1533-position model. The record is from RNAcentral.
AUACGUAGGUGGCAAGCGUUAUCCGGAAUUACUGGGCGUAAAGGGAGCGUAGGCGGAUUUUUAAGUGAGAUGUGAAAUACUCGGGCUUAACCUGAGUGCUGCAUUUCAAACUGAAAGUCUAGAGUGCAGGAGAGGAGAAGGGAAUUCCUAGUGUAGCGGUGAAAUGCGUAGAGAUUAGGAAGAACACCAGUGGCGAAGGCGCUUCUCUGGACUGUAACUGACGCUGAGGCUCGAAAGCGUGGGGAGC